GCAUGGAUGGACAGUCACGGACGCCGACGGACACCGGGUGAUCGAGCUUAAACCUCCCAGGCCGCAAGGCCGUGCGGGUUCGAAUCCCGCUCCGGGCA
This 98-nucleotide transfer RNA is filed under the name Actinospica durhamensis. Its description in RNAcentral is "tRNA-OTHER". Lineage: Bacteria; Bacillati; Actinomycetota; Actinomycetes; Catenulisporales; Actinospicaceae. The record is from RNAcentral.